UACGUAGGGGGCAAGCGUUGUCCGGAUUUACUGGGUGUAAAGGGAGCGUAGACGGCAGCGCAAGUCUGGAGUGAAAUGCCGGGGCCCAACCCCGGAACCGCUUUGGAAACUGCGAGGCUGGAGUGCUGGAGAGGUAAGCGGAAUUCCUGGUGUAGCGGUGAAAUGCGUAGAUAUCAGGAGGAACACCGGUGGCGAAGGCGGCUUACUGGACAGUGACUGACGUUGAGGCUCGAAAGCGUGGGGAGCGAACAGG
Molecule: ribosomal RNA, 253 nt
Filed under: uncultured Lachnospiraceae bacterium
Lineage: Bacteria; Bacillati; Bacillota; Clostridia; Lachnospirales; Lachnospiraceae
Description: partial 16S ribosomal RNA
Rfam family: Bacterial small subunit ribosomal RNA
Source: RNAcentral